RNAcentral lists this ribosomal RNA (277 nucleotides) under uncultured Prevotella sp. RNAcentral describes it as "partial 16S ribosomal RNA". It matches the Rfam family "Bacterial small subunit ribosomal RNA", at positions 79 to 354 of the family's 1533-position model. The record is from RNAcentral. Lineage: Bacteria; Pseudomonadati; Bacteroidota; Bacteroidia; Bacteroidales; Prevotellaceae.
CUUUCCUUGAUGACGACUGGCGCACGGGUGAGUAACGCGUAUCCAACCUUCCCAUAACUACGGGAUAACCCGUUGAAAGACGGCCUAAUACCGUAUGAUAUCGUUUGCUGACAUCAAAUAACGAUUAAAGGUUUAGCGGUUAUGGAUGGGGAUGCGUCUGAUUAGCUUGUUGGCGGGGUAACGGCCCACCAAGGCAACGAUCAGUAGGGGUUCUGAGAGGAAGGUCCCCCACAUUGGAGCUGAGACACGGUCCAAACUCCUACGGGAGGCAGCAGGG